RNAcentral lists this ribosomal RNA (165 nucleotides) under uncultured bacterium. RNAcentral describes it as "partial 16S ribosomal RNA". It matches the Rfam family "Bacterial small subunit ribosomal RNA", at positions 355 to 511 of the family's 1533-position model. The record is from RNAcentral.
UAGGGAAUCUUCCACAAUGGGGCGAAAGCCUGAUGGAGCAACGCCGCGUGUGUGAUGAAGGGUUUCGGCUCGUAAAACACUGUUGUAAGAGAAGAAUGACAUUGAGAGUAACUGUUCAAUGUGUGACGGUAUCUUACCAGAAAGGAACGGCUAAAUACGUGCCAG